GUAUGUGUGUGUCAACAAUUAUUUUAAUAAUUAUCUCAAAUCAAUAUCAAUUUGUGAAUCAUAUUUACUACAAAUUUAAAAUUUUAAAUUGUAAAUUUAUAUGUUAUAUUUUAUUGAAAAAAUAUCUCAUAUUUUAAAUAUUAGUAGGUAAAAUUGAGAUAAUUUUUAUAUAUUCACUUUUAAAAAAAUAUGAUUAAAUAUUAUAUAUGCGGAAGGUAUUAUGUGAUUGGAUAUUAUAUAGGUGGCGGAUAUUACGUGUGAGAAUAAAAAUAUUUAAGAAAUGCAAAUAUUAUUUGUAAUAAAAUAUGAUAUUAUGUUGGCGGCGGUUAUUAGGAGAUAUGACACGCGUAUAAAAAGUGAAAUUUGAUACGUACCAUCUAAGGGCAAUUUAGGUAAAAAAAGUGACAGAUACUUAAUUCGUCAGUCAUUGGAUUAGAUCGAAUGACUAAGAAUUAAUAUAUUUUAUAAUAAUUUAAAAAUAAAAUAAAAAUUAUACGGCUGUGAUUUAUUUCAUUAAAGUUGAAUGAAUGAUAUUAUUAGUAUGUAAUUGGAAUUAUAUUAAUAGGGAUCGGCAUUUUGGGAAAGAGAAAAAAUUCAAAACUCACCCUUUUAUAAGUAGUAUAGAUAUAGAUUAGCAUUUCUCUUAUCUUUUACUUCAAUAUUUUGGAGUCUAGCU
This 676-nucleotide long non-coding RNA is filed under the name Ananas comosus (pineapple). RNAcentral's name for it is "long non-coding RNA (ACOM_LNC018267)". Lineage: Eukaryota; Viridiplantae; Streptophyta; Magnoliopsida; Poales; Bromeliaceae. The record is from RNAcentral.